GACGAACGCUGGCGGCGUGCUUAACACAUGCAAGUCGAGCGGAAAGGCCCUUCGGGGUACUCGAGCGGCGAACGGGUGAGUAACACGUGAGUAACCUGCCCCAGACUUUGGGAUAACCCUCGGAAACGGGGGCUAAUACCGGAUACGACACAGCUUCGCCUUGGGUCUGUGUGGAAAGUUUUUCGGUUUGGGAUGGGCUCGCGGCCUAUCAGCUUGUUGGUGGGGUGAUGGCCUACCAAGGCGACGACGGGUAACCGGCCUGAGCGGGCGACCGGCCACACUGGGACUGAGAGACGGCCCAGAGUCCUACGGGAGGCAGCAGUGGGGAAUAUUGCACAAUGGGCGGAAGCCUGAUGCAGCGACGCCGCGUGAGGGAUGACGGCCUUCGGGUUGUAAACCUCUUCCAGCAGGGACGAAGCGUAAGUGACGGUACCUGCAGAAGAAGCGCCGGCCAACUACGUG
This 462-nucleotide ribosomal RNA is filed under the name uncultured bacterium. RNAcentral describes it as "partial 16S ribosomal RNA". It matches the Rfam family "Bacterial small subunit ribosomal RNA", at positions 28 to 507 of the family's 1533-position model. The record is from RNAcentral.